This 313-nucleotide unclassified non-coding RNA is filed under the name plant metagenome. RNAcentral describes it as "partial contains 5.8S ribosomal RNA, internal transcribed spacer 2, and large subunit ribosomal RNA". The stretch from base 1 to 105 matches the Rfam family "5.8S ribosomal RNA", at positions 50 to 154 of the family's 154-position model. The record is from RNAcentral.
GAAAUGCGAUAAGUAAUGUGCAUUGCAGAAUUCCGUGAAUCAUCGAAUCUUUGAACGCACAUUGCGCCCUCUGGCAUUCCGGGGGGCAUGCCUGUCCGAGCGUCAUUACGCACCCUCAAGCCCGGCUUGUGUGAUGGGCCCCGGCGUCUCGUUCGCGAGACGGGCCCGAAAGGCAGCGGCGGCGUCGACCCGAUGAGCCCGAGCGUAUGGGGACUUCUGUCACACGUUCGCGGUGCGGACCGGCGCCUGCUUUGACUUUUCUGAUUAUCCAGGUUGACCUCGGAUCAGGUAGGGAUACCCGCUGAACUUAAGC